This 354-nucleotide ribosomal RNA is filed under the name uncultured bacterium. Its description in RNAcentral is "partial 16S ribosomal RNA". It matches the Rfam family "Bacterial small subunit ribosomal RNA", at positions 338 to 709 of the family's 1533-position model. The record is from RNAcentral.
CCUACGGGUGGCAGCAGUGGGGGAUAUUGCACAAUGGGGGGAACCCUGAUGCAGCGACGCCGCGUGGGUGAAGGAGCGUUUCGGCGCGUAAAGCCCUAUCGGCAGGGAAGAAGAUGACGGUACCUGACCCAGAAGCCCCGGCUAACUACGUGCCAGCAGCCGCGGUAGUACGUAGGGGGCAAGCUUUAUCCGGAUUUACUGGGUGUAAAGGGGGCGCAGACGGCAAUGCGAGCCAGGAGAGAAAGCGCGGGGCGCAACCCCGGGACUGUUCUUGGAACUGCAUGGCUGGAGUACAGGAGGGGCAGGCGGAAUUCGUGGUGUAGGGGUGAAAUGGGUAGAUAGUAGGAAGAGCAC